Molecule: ribosomal RNA, 449 nt
Filed under: uncultured bacterium
Lineage: Bacteria
Description: partial 16S ribosomal RNA
Rfam family: Bacterial small subunit ribosomal RNA
Source: RNAcentral
AAUGAACGCUGGCGGCAGGCCUAACACAUGCAAGUCGAACGGAUCCUUCGGGAUUAGUGGCGGACGGGUGAGUAACGCGUGGGAACAUACCCAAAGGUACGGAAUAGCCUCGGGAAACUGGGAGUAAUACCGUAUGUGCUCGAAAGAGGAAAGAUUUAUCGCCUUUGGAUUGGCCCGCAUUGGAUUAGGUAGUUGGUGGGGUAAAGGCCUACCAAGCCGACGAUCCAUAGCUGGUUUGAGAGGAUGAUCAGCCACACUGGGACUGAGACACGGCCCAGACUCCUACGGGAGGCAGCAGUGGGGAAUCUUAGACAAUGGGGGAAACCCUGAUCUAGCCAUGCCGCGUGAUCGAUGAGGGCCUUAGGGUUGUAAAGAUCUUUCAGGUGGGAAGAUAGUGACUGUACCACCAGAAGAAGCCCCGGCUAACUCCGUGCCAGCCGCCGCAGUAA